Molecule: ribosomal RNA, 493 nt
Filed under: uncultured bacterium
Lineage: Bacteria
Description: bacterial SSU rRNA
Rfam family: Bacterial small subunit ribosomal RNA
Source: RNAcentral
AAAGGAAUAGACGGGGCCCCGCACAAGUGGCGGAGCAUGCGGAUUAAUUCGAUGCAACGCGAAGAACCUUACCUGGGUUUGAAAUAUGCCGGAAACACCUAGAGAUAGGUGCCCCUUUUAGGUCGGUAUACAGGUGGUGCAUGGCUGUCGUCAGCUCGUGUCGUGAGAUGUUGGGUUAAGUCCCGCAACGAGCGCAACCCUCGUCUAAUGUUGCCAGCGGUUCGGCCGGGAACUCAUUAGAGACUGCCGGGGUCAACUCGGAGGAAGGUGGGGAUGAGGUCAAGUCAUCAUGCCCCUUAUGUCCAGGGCUUCACGCAUGCUACAAUGGCCGGUACAAAGAGCUGCCAGCCUGCAAAGGUGAGCGAAUCUCAAAAAGCCGGUCUCAGUUCGGAUUGGGGUCUGCAACCCGACCCCAUGAAGGCGGAGUCACUAGUAAUCGCAGAUCAGCAACGCUGCGGUGAAUACGUUCUCGGGGCUUGUACACACCGCCCGU